GGCGCUAUAGCCAAGUGGUUACGGCGACAGAUUAGAAUUUCUUCGUGGUUUCCUCUUUGAGGGCGCAGGUUCAAAUCCUGCUGGCGUCG
Non-coding RNA from Lentinula guzmanii, 89 nucleotides. The record is from the annotation of a GenBank genome assembly. Lineage: Eukaryota; Fungi; Basidiomycota; Agaricomycetes; Agaricales; Omphalotaceae.